Molecule: long non-coding RNA, 438 nt
Organism: Temnothorax curvispinosus
Lineage: Eukaryota; Metazoa; Arthropoda; Insecta; Hymenoptera; Formicidae
Exons: 2
Source: RefSeq, a predicted model, not a curated record
AAAUUACAAAUUUACUGAUUUCAGAUCGAUGAAGAGGGUAAAUAUAUAUUAGAAAAAGGUCUUGCAGAUUUUGAUAAUCUUAUAUCUGACGAAGCCAAGAGAAACCAAGCGAAGGACACUGUUCGCAAGUGCUAUGAAACACUUGAAUAUAAAGGACCCAAAGAAGCUAAUACAGAACAGACAAUGAAGGGUGUCCAGUGUGCGUUGCCUACGGUAGCUCUUAUCGACAAACCCUAAUUGAAGAAAUACAUUCUUUUCUUUACGUAAAACUCUUUCUAUGUAAAAAAAUAAUAGCAGGUUGUAGAAAUCCCGCAUUAAUAAUCUUUAUUUUAUGUGUUUUUAAUAUACUUUAAAGGUUUCUUGUUGCUUUUUCUUAAACUGUAACUGAGUUGUUUGUGCUAAUAAUGCAAUAAAAUAUAACAUUUGUUUUUUUCAAAA